GCACGGGUGGGAGAGUGGCUAAUUCCAGCGGUCUGUAAAACCGCCGCCUACGGGCUACGCAGGUUCGAAUCCUGCCCCGUGCACCA
This 86-nucleotide transfer RNA is filed under the name Dehalococcoidia bacterium. RNAcentral's name for it is "tRNA-Tyr". It matches the Rfam family "tRNA". Rfam says of the family: Transfer RNA (tRNA) molecules are approximately 80 nucleotides in length. Their secondary structure includes four short double-helical elements and three loops (D, anti-codon, and T loops). Lineage: Bacteria; Bacillati; Chloroflexota; Dehalococcoidia. The record is from RNAcentral.